RNAcentral lists this ribosomal RNA (1366 nucleotides) under uncultured bacterium. RNAcentral's name for it is "16S ribosomal RNA". It matches the Rfam family "Bacterial small subunit ribosomal RNA", at positions 34 to 1395 of the family's 1533-position model. The record is from RNAcentral.
CGCUAGCUACAGGCUUAACACAUGCAAGUCGAGGGGCAGCAUGGUCUUAGCUUGCUAAGGCCGAUGGCGACCGGCGCACGGGUGAGUAACACGUAUCCAACCUGCCGUCUACUCUUGGACAGCCUUCUGAAAGGAAGAUUAAUACAAGAUGGCAUCAUGAGUCCGCAUGUUCACAUGAUUAAAGGUAUUCCGGUAGACGAUGGGGAUGCGUUCCAUUAGAUAGUAGGCGGGGUAACGGCCCACCUAGUCUUCGAUGGAUAGGGGUUCUGAGAGGAAGGUCCCCCACAUUGGAACUGAGACACGGUCCAAACUCCUACGGGAGGCAGCAGUGAGGAAUAUUGGUCAAUGGGCGAGAGCCUGAACCAGCCAAGUAGCGUGAAGGAUGACUGCCCUAUGGGUUGUAAACUUCUUUUAUAAAGGAAUAAAGUCGGGUAUGCAUACCCGUUUGCAUGUACUUUAUGAAUAAGGAUCGGCUAACUCCGUGCCAGCAGCCGCGGUAAUACGGAGGAUCCGAGCGUUAUCCGGAUUUAUUGGGUUUAAAGGGAGCGUAGAUGGAUGUUUAAGUCAGUUGUGAAAGUUUGCGGCUCAACCGUAAAAUUGCAGUUGAUACUGGAUAUCUUGAGUGCAGUUGAGGCAGGCGGAAUUCGUGGUGUAGCGGUGAAAUGCUUAGAUAUCACGAAGAACUCCGAUUGCGAAGGCAGCCUGCUAAGCUGCAACUGACAUUGAGGCUCGAAAGUGUGGGUAUCAACCAGGAUUAGAUACCCUGGUAGACCACACGGUAAACGAUGAAUACUCGCUGUUUGCGAUAUACAGCAAGCGGCCAAGCGAAAGCGUUAAGUAUUCCACCUGGGGAGUACGCCGGCAACGGUGAAACUCAAAGGAAUUGACGGGGGCCCGCACAAGCGGAGGAACAUGUGGUUUAAUUCGAUGAUACGCGAGGAACCUUACCCGGGCUUAAAUUGCAGAUGAAUUACGGUGAAAGCCGUAAGCCGCAAGGCAUCUGUGAAGGUGCUGCAUGGUUGUCGUCAGCUCGUGCCGUGAGGUGUCGGCUUAAGUGCCAUAACGAGCGCAACCCUUGUUGUCAGUUACUAACAGGUUCCGCUGAGGACUCUGACAAGACUGCCAUCGUAAGAUGUGAGGAAGGUGGGGAUGACGUCAAAUCAGCACGGCCCUUACGUCCGGGGCUACACACGUGUUACAAUGGGGGGUACAGAGGGCCGCUACCACGCGAGUGGAUGCCAAUCCCCAAAACCUCUCUCAGUUCGGACUGGAGUCUGCAACCCGACUCCACGAAGCUGGAUUCGCUAGUAAUCGCGCAUCAGCCACGGCGCGGUGAAUACGUUCCCGGGCCUUGUACACACCGCCC